UACGUAGGGUGCGAGCGUUGUCCGGAAUUAUUGGGCGUAAAGAGCUUGUAGGCGGUUUGUCGCGUCUGCCGUGAAAAUUCGAGGCUCAACCUCGAACUUGCGGUGGGUACGGGCAGACUAGAGUGUGGUAGGGGAGACUGGAAUUCCUGGUGUAGCGGUGAAAUGCGCAGAUAUCAGGAGGAACACCGGUGGCGAAGGCGGGUCUCUGGGCCGUAACUGACGCUGAGGAGCGAAAGCAUGGGGAGCGAACAGG
RNAcentral lists this ribosomal RNA (253 nucleotides) under uncultured bacterium. RNAcentral describes it as "partial 16S ribosomal RNA". It matches the Rfam family "Bacterial small subunit ribosomal RNA", at positions 524 to 776 of the family's 1533-position model. The record is from RNAcentral.